Molecule: long non-coding RNA, 523 nt
Organism: Anolis carolinensis (green anole)
Lineage: Eukaryota; Metazoa; Chordata; Lepidosauria; Squamata; Anolidae
Exons: 2
Source: RefSeq, a predicted model, not a curated record
CUCCCCCUCCCCAGAGAAAAGGGGUCUCGGGGUCCCAACGCCCUUCUACCUCCUUCCUCCUCCUCGAGGCCCACACGCUUUCUUCUUCCUGCUCUGAAAGAGCUCCGCCCAGGCUCCGGAAAUGGCAUCAGAGACAUCCCUAACACCCUCCCUUCCCCUCCUCUUGUUAGCAUUAGUCCUGCCUCUCUAGGAAGAAGCAGAGCUCGCUGGUCCUUGGAGGACCCAGGGGACGGAAAGUGCUCCCUUCCUUCUUCCUGCAAAGCCUUGAAAGACAAGGAUCCCGGGGAAGAAAAAACCCGUUUAGGAACUGGAAAAAAGGUACCAGGGGUAGGGGCAAAGAUGUACAAAUACUCCUCUUAAUCCAGUCAAAAGCAGGAGGCCCCUUUCCGUGGAGAGGAUGAGGAAGGACACCACCGAAGUUGGAUCUCCAAACGGCAAAAAAGCUAUUUAUUGCGAGCUUAGCAAUAACGACAAAAACAUGCAUACGUCAAUGCAAUAAAAGGAUUUGUCGUAACCUGGAAAA